AAUAGAUACCCCGGUAGUCCACGCCGUAAACGAUGAGUGCUAAGUGUUAGAGGGUUUCCGCCCUUUAGUGCUGCAGCUAACGCAUUAAGCACUCCGCCUGGAGAGUACGGUCGCAAGACUGAAACUCAAAGGAAUUGACGGGGGCCCGCACAAGCGGUGGAGCAUGUGGUUUAAUUCGAAGCAACGCGAAGAACCUUACCAGGUCUUGACAUCCCACUGACCGGUAUAGAGAUAUACCUUUCCCUUCGGGGACAGUGGUGACAGGUGGUGCAUAGUUGUCGUCAGCUCGUGUCGUGAGAUGUUGGGUUAAGUCCCGCAACGAGCGCAACCCUUGAUCUUAGUUGCCAGCAUUUAGUUGGGCACUCUAAGGUGACUGCCGGUGACAAACCGGAGGAAGGUGGGGAUGACGUCAAAUCAUCAUGCCCCUUAUGACCUGGGCUACACACGUGCUACAAUGGAUGGUACAAAGGGCUGCAAGACUGCGAAGUCAAGCCAAUCCCAUAAAACCAUUCUCAGUUCGGAUUGCAGG
This 529-nucleotide ribosomal RNA is filed under the name uncultured bacterium. RNAcentral describes it as "bacterial SSU rRNA". It matches the Rfam family "Bacterial small subunit ribosomal RNA", at positions 777 to 1304 of the family's 1533-position model. The record is from RNAcentral.